CAGCCGCCGCGGUAACACCAGCGCCACGAGUGGCAAUCGCGUUUAUUGGGCCUAAAGCGUCCGUAGCAGGUUUCGUAAAUCUCUUGUGAAAUUGCCGGACUCAAUCCGGCAGACUGCAGGAGACACUGCGAGACUUGAGACCGGGAGGAGUUAGAAGUAUUCCUUAGGGAGCGGUAAAAUGCUAUAAUCUAAGGAGGACUACCUGUGGCGAAGGCGUCUAACUAGAACGGAUCUGACUGUGAGGGACGAAAGCUAGGGGAGCGAACCGGAUUAGAUACCCGAGUAGUCCUAGCUGUAAACGCUGUGAGCUAGGUGUCGCGUAUUCUACGUGAAUGCGCGGUGUCGAAAGGAAGCUAUUAAGCUCACCGCCUGGGAAGUACGGUCGCAAGACUGAAACUUUAAGGAAUUGGCGGGGGCGCACCACAAGGGGUGCGGCGUGCGGUUUAAUCCAACUCAACACGGAGAAUCUUACUAGAAGCGACGGCAGAAUGAAAGUCAUGUUGAAGACAUUACUUGACGAGCCGAGAGGUGGUGCAUGGCC
RNAcentral lists this ribosomal RNA (541 nucleotides) under uncultured archaeon. RNAcentral describes it as "bacterial SSU rRNA". It matches the Rfam family "Archaeal small subunit ribosomal RNA", at positions 459 to 999 of the family's 1478-position model. The record is from RNAcentral.